Molecule: non-coding RNA, 29 nt
Filed under: Rattus norvegicus (Norway rat)
Lineage: Eukaryota; Metazoa; Chordata; Mammalia; Rodentia; Muridae
Source: RNAcentral
UCAAAAAAAGAAAUACUAACUUUGUGUUU